Molecule: ribosomal RNA, 497 nt
Filed under: uncultured bacterium
Lineage: Bacteria
Description: partial 16S ribosomal RNA
Rfam family: Bacterial small subunit ribosomal RNA
Source: RNAcentral
GAUGAGCGCUGGCGGCGUGCCUAAUACAUGCAAGUCGAGCGAACAGACGAGGAGCUUGCUCCUCUGACGUUAGCGGCGGACGGGUGAGUAACACGUGGAUAACCUACCUAUAAGACUGGGAUAACUUCGGGAAACCGGAGCUAAUACCGGAUAAUAUAUUGAACCGCAUGGUUCAAUAGUGAAAGACGGUUUUGCUGUAACUUAUAGAUGGAUCCGCGCCGCAUUAGCUAGUUGGUAAGGUAACGGCUUACCAAGGCGACGAUGCGUAGCCGACCUGAGAGGGUUGUCGGCCACACUGGAACUGAGACACGGUCCAGACUCCUACGGGAGGCAGCCUUAGGGAAUCUUCCGCAAUGGGCGAAAGCCUGACGGAGCAACGGCGCGAGAGUGAUGAAGGUCUUCGGAUCGUAAAACUCUGUUAUUAGGGAAGAACAAAUGUGUAAGUAACUAUGCACGUCUUGACGGUACCUAAUCAGAAAGCCACGGCUAAAUACGUG